UCCCUGGAGGACUAGUGGUUAGGCCUCGGUGCUCUCACCGCCACGGCCCAGGUUCGAUUCCCGGCCAGGGAA
RNAcentral lists this transfer RNA (72 nucleotides) under Pangasianodon gigas (Mekong giant catfish). RNAcentral describes it as "tRNA-Glu". It matches the Rfam family "tRNA". From Rfam's summary of the family: Transfer RNA (tRNA) molecules are approximately 80 nucleotides in length. Their secondary structure includes four short double-helical elements and three loops (D, anti-codon, and T loops). The record is from RNAcentral. Lineage: Eukaryota; Metazoa; Chordata; Actinopteri; Siluriformes; Pangasiidae.